Molecule: ribosomal RNA, 486 nt
Filed under: uncultured bacterium
Lineage: Bacteria
Description: partial 16S ribosomal RNA
Rfam family: Bacterial small subunit ribosomal RNA
Source: RNAcentral
AUUGAACGCUGGCGGCAUGCCUUACACAUGCAAGUCGAACGGCAGCACGGGUGCUUGCACCUGGUGGCGAGUGGCGAACGGGUGAGUAAUACAUCGGAACAUGUCCUGUAGUGGGGGAUAGCCCGGCGAAAGCCGGAUUAAUACCGCAUACGAUCUACGGAUGAAAGCGGGGGACCUUCGGGCCUCGCGCUAUAGGGUUGGCCGAUGGCUGAUUAGCUAGUUGGUGGGGUAAAGGCCUACCAAGGCGACGAUCAGUAGCUGGUCCGAGAGGACGACCAGCCACACUGGGACUGAGACACGGCCCAGACUCCUACGGGAGGCAGCAGUGGGGAAUUUUGGACAAUGGGCGAAAGCCUGAUCCAGCAAUGCCGCGUGUGUGAAGAAGGCCUUCGGGUUGUAAAGCACUUUUGUCCGGAAAGAAAUCCUUGGCUCUAAUACAGUCGGGGGAUGACGGUACCGGAAGAAUAAGCACCGGCUAACUACGUG